Molecule: non-coding RNA, 29 nt
Filed under: Mus musculus (house mouse)
Lineage: Eukaryota; Metazoa; Chordata; Mammalia; Rodentia; Muridae
Source: RNAcentral
UGCCAUGGUAUAGAUGACUAGAAUACCCU